AGGAUGGAGAACAAGAAAGGGUCAACAUUUCCAACCGAUUGAAUUUCGAAAUUGAGGUGGAAUCUCAUCCAAGCUCGCUCCUUUGUUUGUUCUUCGAGGGCACACUUCAGGAGGGCCAAGCACUCCGUUGUAGCACUGUGAGUAGUAGUAC
This is a non-coding RNA of Camellia sinensis, 151 nucleotides long. NCBI's taxonomy places the organism in Eukaryota, Viridiplantae, Streptophyta, Magnoliopsida, Ericales, Theaceae. The record is from RefSeq and is a predicted model, not a curated record.